This 502-nucleotide ribosomal RNA is filed under the name Orthopyxis everta. Its description in RNAcentral is "partial 16S ribosomal RNA". It matches the Rfam family "Bacterial large subunit ribosomal RNA", at positions 1884 to 2540 of the family's 2925-position model. The record is from RNAcentral. Lineage: Eukaryota; Metazoa; Cnidaria; Hydrozoa; Leptothecata; Campanulariidae.
GGUUUUUAAUAAAAAGAAUUAAACCUCUUAAAUAAAACUUAAAGGACGCGGUAACCUUGACCGUGAUAAUGUAGCAUAAUCACUCGCCAUUUAAUUGAUGGAUAGUAUGAAUGGUUGAACGAAUAUUCCACUGUCUUAAAAAGAAUCAAAUAAAAUUAAAAUAAUAGUCAAGAUGCUAUUUAAAAUUGUAAGACGAAAAGACCCUAUAGAGCUUAACUAUAGUCUUUCUUACCUGUAUCAAAACAAUACUUUCUAAGUAAGAAAGAUUGGUAGUUUAGUUGGGGCGACUACCUUCUAAAAACAACGAAGGCAAGCAAAGUUAAUAUAAAACUUAUUAUAUAAAAAAAACUUUUAAUAAUUACAAAAGUAGGCUAUAAUGACCCGUUAAUAUCUAAUAAAAGAGUUAACGAUCAAUUAAUAAAAGCUACCUUAGGGAUAACAGGAUAAUUUCAUUUUAGAGUUCCCAUCGAAAAUGAAGUUUGUCACCUCUAUGUUGAAUUAA